Molecule: long non-coding RNA, 410 nt
Filed under: Amphimedon queenslandica
Lineage: Eukaryota; Metazoa; Porifera; Demospongiae; Haplosclerida; Niphatidae
Description: uncharacterized LOC109591549, transcript variant X3
Source: RNAcentral
CGUGGUGUAAAGUGCAGAAAUUAAAAAUGGCGGAUUUUCUGUCCAGCAAAUACUACUCAGAAACUAAAGUUUUAAAGCUAAAACUCAUCCUAGAAAUUUUUGUGAAGAAGACCUAGUGGUAUAGAAAUUACUGAAGAGGCUAACUGUAUUAAUUGUAAUGGAAAUCUUUUACUGAAAGUGGUCCUCUUAGUAUCAGUGGAGAGGUAGCUCAUGCCAUCAAUCUCAGUGGACUGAGGGAAGUGUGUAUUAGGAGAGUGGAUAAAGAUGAAGUGACACUUGAUUUGGUUGAAUUCAUAUUUAAAGUGAGUUAUGAGCAUGAACUCUAGCAGUGCAUGUACAAGCAUGUGUGAUACUUAAAACCUUUAUUGAACCUACCAACUGUGAUGGCUGUAACAUCCCUUUCAUAACCU